Anolis carolinensis (green anole) is the source of this 7089-nucleotide long non-coding RNA. RefSeq lists it as uncharacterized. The record is from RefSeq and is a predicted model, not a curated record. NCBI's taxonomy places the organism in Eukaryota, Metazoa, Chordata, Lepidosauria, Squamata, Anolidae. The transcript is spliced from 2 exons.
UGCUGCUGGAGGGAAUGACGUGGCCCCUCCCCGAAGUGGAAGGGCGUUUCCGUCCGGAGGAAGAGCACGGAGGGGAAAAUCGCACGUGUUUUCCUUCCCUUGCAGCGACUCCUGGUGGCAGGAGGGAGCAUGUGAAGGGGGAUCCAUUAAAACCCUUUUUUAAAAACCUUUUUACCUACUUUGACCAGGGACCAUUAGGGUUACGAAUCAGUUUUUGGUCAACUUUAGAUUUGGUUAGGUUAUAUGAGGUGCUGAUUCAGAAAACUGCAUUAGAUAGACCACAUCAGCUCUAGUUCCUGAUACAGAACAUAUGCCAUCCAGUAGUCACCAUGUGCUCGCCCACAGACAACCGUAUUUAAUAAUCUAGAACUCAUGUGGUCUAUCCAAUGCAAUGUUCUGAAUAAUAAGCCAAAUAACUCCAGGAAAAGGCCUAAAAACAAAAAAAAACCCAACGUGGCCCCGCUUCUAGGCAUCACAUGGAACAGCUCCACUCGGGGAGGGGGGAGGAGAAGCAGCAGUCAAGAGGCUUCUUGUCGCUCUUUUUUUGGGAAGUCAGCCUCUCCUCUCCUGAUAUCCCUGUUGCCUUGGCGCUAUAAGAGGGUUUCACGAGACCAGUCGCUCUCGUUGCAAUAGUGUAGUUCCGGUGAAGCCACGGACCAUAUUUUAGUUCUUGGGGACCACUAGUAGUCCAUGGACCACAGGUUGGGAACCACUGAUUUUGAAAUAGUCCCUCGUCCUAUGACAAGCAGGGUAACAUCUUUGAGACUUCCUGAGAGGAUAAAAUUGUAGCAAUGUAUUUUAGGGCCAUCCACCCAACUGCAGAGUCAUAGCAGUUUGACACUACUUUAGAUGCCAUAGCUCUAUCCUGUGGAAUCCUAGGAUUUGUAGUUUGUUCUGGCAGCAGAGCUUUCUGACAGCAACAGCUAAAUAUCUUACAAACAUGUCAGCAUUCCUAGCAUUGAACCAUGGCUGUUAACGUGGUUUUAAACUGUUGUACGUCUGCAGUGUGGAUACAGUCUCAGCCUGUUCCCUUUUUUAGUUUUUAUUGUGAUACACACACACACACACACAGAGAGAAAUGUACCAUCUUUGAUAUUCCACAAUUAAAAUACAAGCAUUUUUCCCCAGUCCCACCCAUGAACCCUCACUCUUGAUUUCUCCUUAUGUAAUACAAAAGUAUAGGAAUACUAUUGAAUAUUUAUACCUCAAUAUGAUCAAGCAUGUAACUAUUUUCCCUUGGUUUCACCAGCUAUUCUAUUAUCACUCAGAAUCUUAUUAAUCUUAUACAGAAGUGUCUGUCUGAGGUUCUCAAAAGUAUUCAUUUUGUUUUCUUCUUCAUCCUAUAUCCCGUCAUCCUUUAUCAUUUUCCCUCUUUCUUUCUCCCUCCCUCCCUCUUCCCCCUGGGAAACAGUUUACUAAUCUUACUAUGCAAUGCUUAUUAUAGCCUGCUCCCUCUGAUGGAGGCUAUGGGUGCACCUACAUCAGGCAUGGACAAACUUUGAUUCUCCAGAUGUUUUGGACUUCAGCUCCCACAAUUCCUAACAGCUGGUAAGCUGGCUGAGAUUUCUGGGAGUUGAAGUCCAAAACACUUGGAGGGCCAAAGUUUGCCCAUGCCUGACCUACACUGUAGAAUUAAUGCAGUUUGGUACCACUUUAAAUGCCAUGGCUUAAUGCUAUGGAAUCCUGGGAAAUGUAGCUUUACAAAGCCUUCUCUUCCAGAGUGCUACAAAUCUCAUGAUUCUAUAGCCUUGAGCCAAGGCAGUUAAAGUGGUGCCAAACAGUAUUAAUUCUACAGUCUAGAUGCACUCUACAUCUAUGAAAGCUUAUGCUACGGCUUCUUUCUUUCAAUCUCAAAGGUGCUACAAGAUGCCUUGGCAUUCUGAUAUUCCAGACCAGUGUUUCUCAAACUCUGCUCCUCCAAGUAUUUUGGACUUCAGCUCCUAGAAAUCCCAGCCAAUUUACCAGCUGUUUGAAGAUUUGAAGGCACAUGGCAACAAGUUUCUUUCCCCUCUUCAGAUGAAUGCAGAUUGCUCGAUGCACAUAAAUGCAGGAUCCUUUUGGAAGACAUCCAACUUUCACCCUGGCUUUCCAGUGGUGAUGUACAACGUCCCCCUUUGACGUCUGUGCCUUGAGUCAAGAGCAGCCUUCUGGUUUUGAGGAGACUGCAAGUGCAAUUCCAGGGGUUGCCAUCCAGAUACAAGUAUCGGAGACGAGGCAAAUGUUUCACAAAACCAUAAUCUAGGGUGGAUAACUUGUUGUUCCGUAGAUUCAAAACCUGUAGGUGCUGAAGCUGGGACAGUUCCUGCUCUUUAAUUCUUUCUAUGCUGUUUCCUUUCAGAUCCAAUCUGGCUAGUGUUUGUGGAAGGCUGGAAUGUGGGGGGGGGGGGGGGGGGGACAUGCAUUAUUAUUUAUGAGCAACUGUAAACAUGGUAAAUACUUUACAACACCAGUUUCAUUUCUUCUCACAAAACCCUUGUCAUUAGGGCAAGAAGCCCUGCCAUGCCCCAGUGCCACCAAGAUAGUUUAAUAAUGAAACUAAUUAAACUAAUAAUUAGACUAGUUUAAUAAUUAUUAAACUACUGUAUUAUAAUUAUAAAUGAUUAAAUCAUAAUUAACAGGAUUUCAAAUUUGACUUCUUGCCCACAGAACAAACUAGGUUAUAAUUUUGGCUAGGACUCUGGAAGAUUUAUCUCUGAAAUGUCAUGGGCUAGUAUAAAUGGGUUUUUGUUUUGUUUUUUUCGUGUCAGGAGCAACUUGAGUUACUUCUGGUGUGAGCGAAUUGGCCGUCUGCAAGGAUGUUGCCCAGGGGACGCCCAGAAGUUUUUACCAUCCUUGUGGGAGGCUUCUCUCAUGUCCCCGCAUGGAGCUGGAGCUGAUAGAGGGAGCUCAUCCGCACUCUCCCCGUGUGGGAUUCGAACCUGGCAGCUUUCAGGUCAGCAACCCAACCUUCAAGUCACAAGGCUUCAGGCCUGUAGCGAGGGGGUGGUUUUAGGGGUUCAACCCCCCCCCCUCCCCGAAAUUUUUUAGGUUAUAAAAAAAACCUGGUUUACUCAUGAAUUUUAAUUGGUUAACCAAAUCCCCAUGCUAAGUCUAUGAGACGCAAAACAUUAAGAGUCCCUCCAGGCACUAUCUCAAGCAGAUAUUGACAGGUUUGUAGCGGGGAGAGGUGUGUGCUAGGGGUUCAACCCCCCCCCCCCCCCCCGCCGAAAUUUUCAAAACCCCUCCUGAAAUUUUUUUCUGGCUACGACCCUGCAAGGCUUUACCCCUCUACUCCACCGGAGGCUCCAGUAUACAUAGUUGAGAUGACUGGAUUUAAGGAGGUUUGAGUCCUGUCAAGUCUGUUUGCUGUAUGAAUCAGAGAGAAAAACGUAACUCUCCUUCCAGAAUAAGAAAAUAAAUAGUCCAUAUGCUGUUUACAUGUUGAUCUUUUCCAACCUGUGUCAUGUAUGCCCUACUGUUCUGCCACAGAGCUGAGGGUUCAUGAGUCUUAGGACUUUUCCUAUUCUACAGUUUUAUCCUUGCAAUAAACUUGAAACAACCUUAAGUUGCAUGGUAGCAAGGGACCAAGAGAACUGUGUUAUCUAGGGUACAACCUGGGAGUUGUACUUUGGUGAAGCACCAGCCCUCUUUGGCAGAGGGUAAAGCUACAGUUCCCAUUAUUUCAUAGCAUAGAGCUAUGGUAAUUAAAAUGGAGUCAAACUUCAUUAAUUCUACAGCAUAGGUGCACCCUGAUUAUAGCUUGUUGGUUAUAACCAAAAGGCCAAGAGACAAUUUUCAGACAAGGGCUUUAAUUUUGUAAUCACUCUGACUCAUUUACAGAAUUUUACAGUUGAUCUUGACAACACUGUCUUCCAUUUGUAAUACUCACAUCCCUUUCUAUGCUGCUUCAGUCUUUUUUUUCCUUUUUACAAAUAAUCUGUGGAGAAAAAGACAGAAUAGCUGCAGCAUGACUUUUAACUGGCAGCACUAAGAGCAGCUCAAGUGGAGGGAUGUUUGGUUUCACUGGUCUGGGGAUCAUGUCCUCCCUAUUUUGUUGAACUUCCAACUCCUUUCUUGCCUGACCAUGUGAUAUAUUGUCUGGACCUCAUGGGACUUGGGGUCCAAUGAUAUUUCAGAGGCCUUUUAGAGGCCAUCAAUUCCCAACCCAGUUCUUAUUGAUAUACCACAUUUGGCUUUUACAGAUCCCAGUAAUUACAUUAUUUGGCAGUGACACAAACAGAUUUUUUGUUAUGCAUGGAAAUCUAUUACAGACAUCUAAUACUUUUCCUCUUGGUUUCUAUGUCUUGUGACAUAUACGAAAACAGCAUUCAGUAUGUAGUUAUGUUUUCAAAAUCCUGUAUCUGAGAUAUAGAAAAGUCAUUUUAAUAAUAAUAAUAAUAAUAAUAAUAAUAAUAAUAAUAAUAAUAAUAAUAAUAGGAUUCGGGCAGCUAACUGUGUUUCUGGUUCAGUUGCUUACCGUAGUGGAAUAGAAUGAAGCAAGUUUUGUUCAAGUGCUAGAUUAGACAGUACUGUGCAUUUUAGAAGUGCCCCAUCUUCAAAUGUUGCAACAACAUUGUUGUCAAGGAACAAAUGCUUGAGGUCUUGAAGAUUAUGGAAUUCUUGUGCUUGAAUUUUCCCAAUCAGAUUAUUACUGCAAUCGAUUUUCUGCAAAGUGAUUGGCAGCCUGACUGGUAUUGUUUGGAGUUUAUUCCCAGCUAUCUCCAACCUUGUUAAACUGGAAAGAUGUUGUACACCAUCAACUGAUGAAAUCUGGUUUUCAGAUAAGAAAAGCUGUGACAAAUUUGCCAGUUGUUUCACAUCUUCAGAUCUCAUCAUUUUGAGUUGAUUUCUCUCUAACUUCAAUGACAGUAAAGAUCUGGGUAGUUCUGGGGGCAUGUCAGUCAGUAAAUUACCAUUUAAAUUGAGAAACAAUAAAUUUUGAAGAGAUGUGAAAAAGCUUCCAGAUAAAGAUUGCAACUUAUUUUUUUCCAUGCUCAGAUACUUUAAAUUGGGGAGAUGGACAGGUCCAGUCACGGAUUCCAUAUUGUUCCCAUCCAAAGUCAAACUCUGUAAACUGUUGAGAGAGGAAAAAGUAAUAAAAGAAAGAACUACAAUCAAAUUGCUUUGUAUAUCAAGGACCCUUAAGUUCUUUAAACCUUCGAAGUCAGAUUCAUGUAAAGCACUUAUUAAAUUAUCGCCAAGUUUCAGCACUUCAAGGUUCUCUGGGAGUGAGGAUGGUAUGUUCCUCAGCUUGUUUUUCCACAAUUCCAGGAUUCUUAAAGUAUCUAAAUUUUUGAAAGUGUUAAUUUCCACUGAUUCUGUUCCACUGCAAGUCAGGACAAAUUCUUCAAGGGAAGACAUUUUUUGGAAAUCAGUGACCUGCGGGAUAAAUGGCAAAGCAAAAUUAUUUUUGGUAAGAUCAAUUUAACAAUGGAGCAUCUCAUUAAUACCUCAAUUGAAUUAAAACACAUAAUCAGGAAUAUCAUCCUUGCAAAUGAAUGGGAGUUGUGCAGUCUUCUCAGGUAAAGGGAACACAAUCCAGCCAAACCAGAAAAAGGGUAUUUUCCAUGGCAAGCUGGAGCCCUCUUGAGGUGUAAAGCAGAAUAUAUGCAAAACUUUUAAGGCAAUCUAAGGUACACCUGGGAAUAAUAUAUCACUGAACCCAAUGAGGUUUCAGAGAGAACAGGCAGUACAACAUGCCUAAGCAUAUUUGAUUAGAUGUAAAUCAAAUCUGCUGCUUGUUAAGGAAUAAUUGGAUAAGAUUGCAUUCUCAUUCCUCAAUUCUGUGCAUAUUUUCUCAGGCUUCUUUCUGCAACUCGAAUCCUUUUAGUUUUUUAUCUACAGCAUUAAAGAUUUAUUUGAUGCUCUUCAUCAUUUGUAUUCUCCAUUUAUAGCUAGAGUCUCAAACUCAUUUGUGGUUUUGAGGUAAUUAAAUAAUAUGUUUUUCUUUGGUUAUGUAAAAUGCAUAUACUUAUAUAUUUCAUAUAUUAUGUUCUGUUUGGUCUUGUGGAAGCUUUGGUUAAAAAACUUAAAAAAAUAUUUUUAAAACAUGAAUGAGAAACGAAAACUAUUUGUGGCAAAGCAUUAGUUACUGAAAAAUGUAAAACUUCAUUUGAGAUCUCACUUGUAACUUAUUAUUCAUUAUCAUGGAAGCCAUGUCUUUUGUACAGAACAUUAGAAUGUUUAUCCAUUUAGUGUUUAUCAGUUUUAAAACUUCAAAGAACUGAAUUGGCUAGCAAGGGGAAGGAUUAGAAGCAUGGAUUACAAGUUCAUUAUAUGCACAGCUUUUAAACUCAUCUUUCAGACAUUUUAAGUAUUUCAAAAGGGAGUUAUUGUUCUUUGUAAAGGCGCCCUUCAUGUUUGUAUUGCUUGUACUGCUACUAAUAUCGAGUCAUUAAAUGAUAAAAUAGCCAAUUACACUGAUAAAGAAGGACAAUUUUUCUUUCUGAUCAUGACACACACACACAUUUUUCUUACCCUUGAAAUUUGGUUAUAUUUUAUACUAAUGAGCAAAUAGAGCUAUUUGUUUAAGAAAGUUUACUCAUGUGCUUCAUGUAUUAGGACUAGAGGUUAAUUUUGGCUGCAAUCUAUACAUAUGUCUUCAGAUAUCUUAGUAAUACACACUUGUCAGAGAAACAGGAUGUCCUGUGGUGACCUGCAAAGGCAAACCAAUUUUUUGUCCUUGUGCAAUGACUGCUAAUUUUGACUAUUUGUAAUUGCUUUGUGUAUAAUUGUGUGUAUAUGUGCACAUGCAAUUGUAUGUAUAAAUACACAGGGAGUUCAUUCUACCUAGCAAUUUAUGCACAUUUCUUAAGCUAAAGUGUUGUGGAGUUUUGCUUACAAGGAAGGUAUAAUGCUUAAUUAACAAAAACAAAUGCCUCAGUAAGAUUUUUGUCACCCUGCCUUCCUGGUCACACAGACCUUAAAGCUGCAGUUGUAUACCCACUUUCCUGGGAGUAGUCUGUUUUGAACUCAACUCCAUGUACCUUUGAGUAGAUAUAGCAUUAUUGUAAGAGCAAACUACUUUGAGAUAUUUGUAUGAAAAAUGGCAUCAAAAUAUAAGUAAAUCAGUUACAUGUAGCUGAUGGAAAAUAAAAUAAAUAUACACUA